Drosophila melanogaster (fruit fly) is the source of this 383-nucleotide non-coding RNA. The record is from Ensembl. NCBI's taxonomy places the organism in Eukaryota, Metazoa, Arthropoda, Insecta, Diptera, Drosophilidae.
ACCGCCGGUGUUGUUGUUGUUUUUGCUGCCGCCGCUGGCGAGUUUUUGUUUAAACGUUUUCAAAUCGCACAGCGAAUGAAAACGAAAGAAAAAAUGAAACACAUCGAAAGUGAGCAUAUAACGAAGCGCUAACCGGCAAUGUUGUCGACGUAUCAGAGCGCUCGUAGUGCCCCCAUCCGAACCCCCAUACCCGAUAUACCAUACCAUACACACUAUACCGCGCCGCAGUCGCCACAUCACGUACUGCCCCCCGUCCGAACCGAUCCGAUCCACUCCACUAUUUCCGAGAGACUUUGCAUGGCCGGUCGACCGGCCGACGACCAUCGCAUGGCACAUCGGGCCGUGGAAUCGUACACUUCAAUGAUAUAAAUAAUAUUUAAAUU